This 492-nucleotide ribosomal RNA is filed under the name uncultured bacterium. Its description in RNAcentral is "partial 16S ribosomal RNA". It matches the Rfam family "Bacterial small subunit ribosomal RNA", at positions 32 to 507 of the family's 1533-position model. The record is from RNAcentral.
AGUCAACGCUGGCGGUAGGCCUAACACAUGCAAGUCGAACGGCAGCACAGUAAGAGCUUGCUCUUACGGGUGGCGAGUGGCGGACGGGUGAGGAAUACAUCGGAAUCUACUUUUUCGUGGGGGAUAACGUAGGGAAACUUACGCUAAUACCGCAUACGACCUACGGGUGAAAGCAGGGGAUCUUCGGACCUUGCGCGAUUGAAUGAGACGAUGUCGGAUUAGCUAGUUGGCGGGGUAAAGGCCCACCAAGGCGACGAUCCGUAGCUGGUCUGAGAGGAUGAUCAUCCACAGUGGAACUGAGACACGGUCCAGACUCCUACGGGAGGCAGCAGUGGGGAAUAUUGGACAAUGGGCGCAAGCCUGAUCCAGCCAUACCGCGUGGGUGAAGAAGGCCUUCGGGUUGUAAAGCCCUUUUGUUGGGAAAGAAAAGCAGCAGGUUAAUACCCCGCUGUUCUGACGGUACCCAAAGAAUAAGCACCGGCUAACUUCGUG